CCUGGCUCAGGACGAACGCUGGCGGCGUGCCUAAUACAUGCAAGUCGAACGAAUCUAGAAGUUAGCUUGCUAACUUCUAGGUUAGUGGCGGACGGGUGAGUAACACGUAGGCAACCUGCCCCUAAGAUCGGGAUAACAUUCGGAAACGAAUGCUAAGACCGGAUAAACAAUUUGGUCGCAUGGCUGGAUUGGGAAACACGGCGCAAGCUGUGGCUUAGGGAUGGGCCUGCGGCGCAUUAGCUAGUUGGUGGGGUAACGGCUCACCAAGGCGACGAUGCGUAGCCGACCUGAGAGGGUGAACGGCCACACUGGGACUGAGACACGGCCCAGACUCCUACGGGAGGCAGCAGUAGGGAAUCUUCCACAAUGGGCGAAAGCCUGAUGGAGCAACGCCGCGUGAGUGAGGAAGGCUUUCGGGUCGUAAAGCUCUGUUGCCAGGGAAGAAUAAGGGUGAGAGUAACUGCUCAUCCGAUGACGGUACCUGAGAAGAAAGCCCCGGCUAACUACGUGCCAGCAGCCGCGGUAAUACGUAGGGGGCAAGCGUUGUCCGGAAUUAUUGGGCGUAAAGCGCGCGCAGGCGGUUCUUUAAGUCUGGUGUCUAAGUGCGGGGCUCAACCCCGUGAUGCACUGGAAACUGGGGAACUUGAGUGCAGAAGAGGAGAGCGGAAUUCCACGUGUAGCGGUGAAAUGCGUAGAGAUGUGGAGGAACACCAGUGGCGAAGGCGGCUCUCUGGACUGUAACNGACGNGA
Molecule: ribosomal RNA, 750 nt
Filed under: Cohnella luojiensis
Lineage: Bacteria; Bacillati; Bacillota; Bacilli; Caryophanales; Paenibacillaceae
Description: bacterial SSU rRNA
Rfam family: Bacterial small subunit ribosomal RNA
Source: RNAcentral